RNA transcript from Sitodiplosis mosellana (orange wheat blossom midge), 983 nucleotides. RefSeq lists it as uncharacterized. Lineage: Eukaryota; Metazoa; Arthropoda; Insecta; Diptera; Cecidomyiidae. The transcript has 4 exons. The record is from RefSeq and is a predicted model, not a curated record.
UAUAAAUUUGUGAACGAAAAUAUUCCGAGUUUAGUUUGUUACACCGUCUAGCAAGCAAUACACAUAGUUGUUAAUUUGAUUUCCAAUCAUAUAGAGUGGAAGAUUUAUAUAUUUAUAGCUUCUGUUCUCAUUGUGACAAAUUUUCCUUCGCAAUUUAUACACAAUGGAUAUAUUGAUCAAAAUUCUAGUAUUGCUACGAAUAAGCUAUUUCAUAAGCGGCAUCGUUGCAUUGCCGUUGUCACAAACUUCAACAGCACCACCAACGAAAUCACCAGAUCUGAUGGAAAUACCCGUUGUAUUCACACACGAUGUAAAUCCAUUUGAUCCUUCAUCGAUUUCAUUUCAAUUGGGUAGCAAUUUAAAUGUAUCAAAGCCGAGUCCAGACUCAAUAUCGAAAAGCCCAAUAGUGAAACUACAUCAAGUCAUACCGUUGUUGAAACUGGAAGAACCGUUGAAUCCACCGUUGGCAAAACUGAAUAACACAAGACAAAUGCGUGUGCACAUAUUUCGCCCGUUGUUUGUUUACCGCCAAGAGCAAGCGAUGAAAAAUCGUCCGAUGGACGGCAGACCUUCUUUCGAUCCAGAUCGCUUCUAUUACAAUUAUCCAUACUACCAUCACUAUCAUCAUCAAAAACAACAACACCAACAGCAUCAAUACGCCAUUGGCUAUCCCGAUUUCUAUGAAUCAUAUCCUUUCAAGAACUAUGACUAUGUGACAAAUGAUUUGUCGGCCGACCGAUUUCCUACCUAUGACUUUUGGUAUCCAUGAAGGUGUAAUUAUAGAUUUCACGCCAUUCAACCGAAUUAAUAACUUAAAUAAUAUGUGAAUGAAAUGUUCAUUUGUAAUGGGAUGCUUCGUCGUUAAAAGCCGAAUUGAAACAAUUUUGGAGUCCCUCGAAUACGGAAAUACCUUAGUUUUAUAGUAUUAUUUUAAUUUAUUUAUUUAAUGUAAUGAACUUUGUAUUAUUAUCAAAAAUAUUAAU